RNAcentral lists this unclassified non-coding RNA (892 nucleotides) under Hevea brasiliensis (rubber tree). The record is from RNAcentral. Lineage: Eukaryota; Viridiplantae; Streptophyta; Magnoliopsida; Malpighiales; Euphorbiaceae.
AGAACCACACCAAUCUAUGAGUCUCCAUACCACAAUCUCAAAUCACAGAAUUUUGCUAAUGGUUUAACCCCUGAGGAUGGUACUGUGGUAGAUUACAUGCCUCUUGCAGAUGCUGGAGAUGUAGAAGGUGACAAGUCCAAUGAGAAGUUGGUCCGGAGACGCCAGAAAUCUGAAGCAGAUUUUAGAACUGGAACACCAGAAAGGCUGUUGAAGGAAGAAAACAUUGGUGGAAGCAGUGAUUUCUCAACUGUAGCGGGAAAAGGUUUAGCUAUGAGACCAAAAUCAGCGAGCCGAACAGAGCUGUGCACCGAGUCAGAGCCAGGAUGUUUAAAUUCUAUACCAGUGGGUUUGGGAGAUUCUUUUAUUUCUGAUGGACCACUGACUGGAGUUCGUAAAUCAUCAAGUACACCAAGUCUGCUUGACCAAGACAACAAUAAUACCUCUUCUGUUUGGCCAACUUCAAAGUGGAGUUUGAAAUCUGACCUGCAGGCUUUCUCGUCUGCAGCAAUAAAUAUACCUAUAUUCGAUGGUUUGCCAAAGCCAAUAUCAGGCUAAUCAAGGGCAGCUUUGCCCUUGAUUAGCCUGAUGUUUUGCAAUCUGAUGGAAAUUUUUUGUUCUGUAUUUAUGAUCUAAAGGGAAUGGAAUGUCGCAGCCUCUCACUGCCAUGUGUCAUAUUGCUGCAAAGUGCAAUUGAAAAAGGAGUAAGGCCAGGAAUAUUAUAAAAAAAAAAGUAAGAAAAAUACAAUAUUGGGUUAUCCAUUUGAGAAAAAAAAAAGGUUGAAAUUGUCAUUUUGACAGCUCUGCAAUCUCAAUUUUUAACAGGGUGUUCUAAUCAAUACAAUAAUGAAAACAUAUUUCUCCAAUAAAUCAAUGUAAUAUUCUCCGUUGGAAU